Long non-coding RNA from Hyla sarda, 636 nucleotides. RefSeq lists it as uncharacterized. NCBI's taxonomy places the organism in Eukaryota, Metazoa, Chordata, Amphibia, Anura, Hylidae. The record is from RefSeq and is a predicted model, not a curated record. The transcript is spliced from 3 exons.
AAGACAGCCAUGCCAAAAGUAUUUCAGUGAAUGAACGGCUUUGCCUCAUGGCAGGCGGCCAUGGUCUGUCGUAGGGCAGAGACAAUCCCUUUAAAAUCUUGAGUUCGUUCAGUGCAGGACGGCCUCAGAAUUCCCACAUUGUAAUGUAAUUGGUGAAAUCGACUGCAGAAAUCCACCAGCAAAUACGCAGAGCUCCAGGCCUCACAGCAAAGACAUGUUAAUGGGAAUCUUUACAGCUGACUAUAUAAUGGAACCACCGGCACUUGUGUGCCGCCAUAUAAUCCUUCCCCAAUAACUCCAGGAGAAAAUAUCUACAGUAUCUCGGCAUAAUAUUAAGAAUACAAUUAUUAAAAUUUUGAAUUAAGAGCAGCCAGCACUGUCAGCUCUUAGGAGUGAUGGAGAAAGUGGUCAGGUGUUAUGCUUGCCCAAGGAAAUGACCCCUCCUUCUCAGUGAACUGCAAAGAUGAAAACCAGGACAGGAUCAGCACCUGUUAAAUAGUCUGCACCAAAUAACGUAUUCGAGUAAAUUUGCCAGUGGGAGAAAUAUUGUUGCGUCUGCGUGUGGUGUCAAAAUUUGCAAGAAAUCUACAACUAAAUAUUGUUUCAGAUCCUGCUAUGCAAUAAAAAAAUAAAAAA